AACGUAGGAGACAAACGUUAUCCGGAGUUACUGGGCGUAAAGGGCGUGUAGGUGGUUGCGUAAGUCUGGCGUGAAAUAUCUCGGCUUAACCGAGGCAGGUCGUCGGAUACUGCGUAACUGGAGGACGGUAGAGGCGUGUGGAGUUCCGGGUGUAGUGGUGAAAUGCGUAGAGAUCCGGAGGAACACCAGUGGCGAAGGCGGGUCUCUGGGCCGAAAUUGACGCUGAGGAGCGAAAGCGUGGGGAGCAAACAGG
RNAcentral lists this ribosomal RNA (253 nucleotides) under uncultured bacterium. RNAcentral describes it as "partial 16S ribosomal RNA". It matches the Rfam family "Bacterial small subunit ribosomal RNA", at positions 524 to 776 of the family's 1533-position model. The record is from RNAcentral.